RNAcentral lists this non-coding RNA (953 nucleotides) under Pampus argenteus (silver pomfret). RNAcentral's name for it is "12S ribosomal RNA". It matches the Rfam family "Bacterial small subunit ribosomal RNA". The record is from RNAcentral. Lineage: Eukaryota; Metazoa; Chordata; Actinopteri; Scombriformes; Stromateidae.
CAAAAGCUUGGUCCUGACUUUAUUAUCAACUCUAGCUAAAUUUACACAUGCAAGUAUCCGCGACCCUGUGAGAAUGCCCUAACAGUUUUCUGCCAGAAAACAAGGAACUGGUAUCAGGCACACCCCUAUGGUAGCCCAUGACACCUUGCCCAGCCACACCCUCAAGGGAACCCAGCAGUGAUAAACCUUAAGCAAUAAGUGAAAACUUGACUUAGUUAAAGCUAAGAGAGCCGGUAAAUCUCGUGCCAGCCACCGCGGUUAUACGAGAGGCUCAAGUUGAUAAACCUCGGCGUAAAGUGUGGUUAAGGAAAUUUUCAACUAAAGCCGAACGCCUAUAAAAGCAGUGAUACGCUUAUUAAGGCAUGAAGCCCCUCUACGAAAGUGGCUUUAUAAACCCUGACUCCACGAAAGCUAUGAAACAAACUGGGAUUAGAUACCCCACUAUGCUUAGCCGUAAACAUUGAUAGAAUGCUACAUAUUUCUAUCCGCCUGGGAAUUACGAGCAUUAGCUUAAAACCCAAAGGACUUGGCGGUUCUUUAGAUCCCCCUAGAGGAGCCUGUCCUAUAACCGAUAAUCCCCGUUCAACCUCACCCUCCCUUGUUAAUCCCGCCUAUAUACCGCCGUCGUAAGCUUGCCCUGUGAAGGACAAAUAGCGAGCAAAAUUAGUAUAACCCAAAACGUCAGGUCGAGGUGUAGCGCAUGAGAGGGGAAGAGAUGGGCUACAUUCGCUAGUCUAGCGAAUACGAAUGAUGUAAUGAAAACGUACAUACUGAAGGAGGAUUUAGCAGUAAGUGAAAAGCAGAGUGUUCCACUGAAGCAGGCUCUAAAGUGCGCACAUACCGCCCGUCACUCUCCCCGAGCAUUUCCAAACAUAUAACUAAAACAACAUAUGAGCAAAGGUGAGACAAGUCGUAACAUGGUAAGUGUACCGGAAGGUGCACUUGGUACAAAU